Molecule: transfer RNA, 72 nt
Filed under: Camelus bactrianus (Bactrian camel)
Lineage: Eukaryota; Metazoa; Chordata; Mammalia; Artiodactyla; Camelidae
Also listed under: 2 other names
Rfam family: tRNA
About the family: Transfer RNA (tRNA) molecules are approximately 80 nucleotides in length. Their secondary structure includes four short double-helical elements and three loops (D, anti-codon, and T loops).
Source: Rfam by way of RNAcentral
GUGGGUAUAGCUCAGUGGUAGAGCACAUGCUUAGCAUGCAGAAGGUCCUGGGUUCAAUCCCCAGUACCUCCA